Hemicordylus capensis (graceful crag lizard) is the source of this 543-nucleotide long non-coding RNA. RefSeq lists it as uncharacterized. The record is from RefSeq and is a predicted model, not a curated record. NCBI's taxonomy places the organism in Eukaryota, Metazoa, Chordata, Lepidosauria, Squamata, Cordylidae. The transcript is spliced from 2 exons.
CAGACUUAGGAGAUGUCACUUCUGUUCUUCCCUCCACUUGUUGACUAGCUAUAAUGGAAACAACUCUUUCCUUCUUCUGUAUUUAGGAGUUCCUUAUUCUCUGCAGCAAACACACCUCUUCUUUGACAUUUUGGGGGACAGCCCUCCAAUGGAUGAAGAGGCAAGGAUGUCCCUCACACCCAGUGCAAUGCAGGUCACAACUGCAUUGCAAGGCCUCUACAGCAAGAGCAGUAGCAGUAGUGACCAGUAUGAAUCCAGCUGCUCCUUUGUGGGUGUUGCCAAUAUUUUGUUCUAGUGUUCUGAACCUUUGCAAGCUGCUUGACAGUUACAUACUGUUACAGUUACAUAUUGAUAAACCAUCUCUUGCAUGGCCAUGUUAUGAUUGGGAAAAUUCCACCUUUUACUUUGCUGUCCUUCAUGCAGCCUUCAAGGGUACACAGGUUCUGCUGGGACAGGAAGGUUGACAACCGCAUUCACAUGUCUUGCUUUCAGAGCUCACUCCAUUGCGGAUGCUGUUCAAUAAAAGUUUUCCAUUGUGUUAUA